GACGAACGCUGGCGGCGUGCUUAACACAUGCAAGUCGAACGGAAAGGCCCUGCUUUUGUGGGGUGCUCGAGUGGCGAACGGGUGAGUAACACGUGAGUAACCUGCCCUUGACUUUGGGAUAACUUCAGGAAACUGGGGCUAAUACCGGAUAGGAGCUCCUGCUGCAUGGUGGGGGUUGGAAAGUUUCGGCGGUUGGGGAUGGACUCGCGGCUUAUCAGCUUGUUGGUGGGGUAGUGGCUUACCAAGGCUUUGACGGGUAGCCGGCCUGAGAGGGUGACCGGGCCCCAUGGGGCUGGAUAGCCCGCCCGCACUCCUCGGGGGGCCGGCGGGGGGAAUUAUUGCCGAGGGGGGGGAGCCCUAAUGCAGCACCCCCGCGGGGGGGAGGCCGCCCUUCGGUUUGAAACCCGCUUCCGCCUGUGACGAAGGGUGAGGGACGUUAAGGGGUAAAGAACCCCCGCCUAACUACGUC
This 469-nucleotide ribosomal RNA is filed under the name uncultured bacterium. RNAcentral describes it as "partial 16S ribosomal RNA". It matches the Rfam family "Bacterial small subunit ribosomal RNA", at positions 28 to 507 of the family's 1533-position model. The record is from RNAcentral.